GAUGAACGCUAGCGGCAGGCCUAACACAUGCAAGUCGAGGGGUAGGGUUAGCUUGCUAACUUGAGACCGGCGCACGGGUGCGUAACGCGUAUGCAAUCUACCUUGUACAGAGGGAUAGCCCAGAGAAAUUUGGAUUAAUACCUCAUAGUAUCUUUACCUGGCAUCGGGUAAUUAUUAAAGUUCCAACGGUACAAGAUGAGCAUGCGUCCCAUUAGUUAGUUGGUAAGGUAACGGCUUACCAAGACAAUGAUGGGUAGGGGUCCUGAGAGGGAGAUCCCCCCACACUGGUACUGAGACACGGACCAGACUCCUACGGGAGGCAGCAGUGAGGAAUAUUGGUCAAUGGACGCAAGUCUGAACCAGCCAUGCCGCGUGCAGGAAGACGGUCCUAUGGAUUGUAAACUGCUUUUAUACAGGAAGAAACAACUCUACGUGUAGAGUCUUGACGGUACUGUAGGAAUAAGGAUCGGCUAACUCCGUGCCAGCAGCCGCGGUAAAGUA
Molecule: ribosomal RNA, 501 nt
Filed under: uncultured bacterium
Lineage: Bacteria
Description: bacterial SSU rRNA
Rfam family: Bacterial small subunit ribosomal RNA
Source: RNAcentral